GUGGGGAAUAUUAGGCAAUGGGCGAAAGCCUGACCUAGCAACGCCGCGUGAAGGAAGAAGGCCUUCGGGUUGUAAACUUCUUUUAUGAGGGACGAAGGACGUGACGGUACCUCAUGAAUAAGCCACGGCUAACUACGUGCCAGCAGCCGCGGUAAUACGUAGGUGGCGAGCGUUGUCCGGAUUUACUGGGUGGAAAGGGCGCGUAGGCGGACUGGCAAGUCAGAUGUGAAAUACAGGGGCUCAACCCCUGAACGGCAUUUGAAACUGUUGAUCUUGAGUAUCGGAGAGGCAAGCGGAAUUCCUAGUGUAGCGGUGAAAUGCGUAGAUAUUAGGAGGAACACCAGUGGCGAGGGCGGCUUGCUGGACGACAACUGACGCUGAGGCGCGAAAGCGUGGGGAGCAAACAGGAUUAGAUACCCUAGUAGUCC
RNAcentral lists this ribosomal RNA (428 nucleotides) under uncultured bacterium. Its description in RNAcentral is "partial 16S ribosomal RNA". It matches the Rfam family "Bacterial small subunit ribosomal RNA", at positions 354 to 796 of the family's 1533-position model. The record is from RNAcentral.